RNAcentral lists this ribosomal RNA (177 nucleotides) under uncultured beta proteobacterium. RNAcentral's name for it is "partial 16S ribosomal RNA". It matches the Rfam family "Bacterial small subunit ribosomal RNA", at positions 335 to 504 of the family's 1533-position model. The record is from RNAcentral. Lineage: Bacteria; Pseudomonadati; Pseudomonadota; Betaproteobacteria.
ACUCCUACGGGAGGCAGCAGUGGGGAAUUUUGGACAAUGGGCGAAAGCCUGAUCCAGCAAUGCCGCGUGUGUGAAGAAGGCCUUCGGGUUGUAAAGCACUUUUGUCCGGAAAGAAAUCCUUGGCUCUAAUACAGUCGGGGGAUGACGGUACCGGAAGAAUAAGCACCGGCUAACUAC